This 253-nucleotide ribosomal RNA is filed under the name uncultured bacterium. RNAcentral's name for it is "partial 16S ribosomal RNA". It matches the Rfam family "Bacterial small subunit ribosomal RNA", at positions 524 to 776 of the family's 1533-position model. The record is from RNAcentral.
UACGAAGGGGGCUAGCGUUGCUCGGAUUGACUGGGCGUAAAGGGCGCGUAGGCGGUUUGCACAGUCAGACGUGAAAUUCCUGGGCUUAACCUGGGGGCUGCGUUUGAUACGUGCAGGCUUGAGUUCGGAAGAGGGUCGUGGAAUUCCCAGUGUAGAGGUGAAAUUCGUAGAUAUUGGGAAGAACACCGGUGGCGAAGGCGGCGAGCUGGUCCAUUACUGACGCUGAGGCGCGACAGCGUGGGGAGCAAACAGG